RNAcentral lists this ribosomal RNA (358 nucleotides) under Ectobiidae sp. 18 FL-2016. Its description in RNAcentral is "mitochondrial SSU rRNA". The record is from RNAcentral. Lineage: Eukaryota; Metazoa; Arthropoda; Insecta; Blattodea; Ectobiidae.
UUUAGACUUAMAAUAUUUUAAACUUGAGUAGUAUUAGUUAAGGUCUUGAAACUUAAAGAAUUUGGCGGUAUUUUAGUCUAUUUAGAGGAAUCUGUUUUGUAAUCGAUAAUCCGCGUUGGACCUUACUUAAUUUAUUUAAUAUGUAUACCGCCGUUAAAGUUUAAUCUUAUAAGAGUUAUUAAUUUUUAAAUAAUUUAUUGGAUAAUGUUYCAGGUCCAGGUGCAGUUUAUAAUUAAAGUUAAAAUGGAUUACAAUUUUUGUAAUAAUAAUGAAUUAUUAGUUGUAAAUAUUAAUAUGAAGGUGGAUUUAAUAGUAAUUUUAUGUAGAUKGUUAUUAUGAUUGUAGCUCUAAGAUAUGU